AACCCGCCCAUAGUCGAGCCCUGUCCUCACUAACCCUUCCAGAAGCUACCAACUCUAUCAGAACGAAAAUAACUCACUGACCCGUUAUCUCCUCUCUCUCUCCUGCAAUCUGUGUGAAGUUUUAAGGGGGAAAAAGAUGAGUAGCCGAUCGAGUCGCACUAUCUACGUCGGCAAUCUGCCUGGGGAUAUUCGGAUGAGAGAAAUUGAAGAUUUGUUCAUGAAGUACGGGCCCAUCGUCGACAUUGAUCUCAAAGUCCCGCCGAGACCACCGGGUUAUGCUUUUAUUGAGUUUGAAGAUGCUCGAGAUGCUGAUGAUGCAAUUUAUGGCCGGGACGGGUACAACUUUGAUGGGUAUCGUUUACGGGUUGAACUAGCGCAUGGUGGACGAGGACACUCAUCGUCAAUGGAUCGAUACAGCAGUUACAGUCAUAGUAGCAGUAGCCAUGGAGCUUCCCGGCGCUCUGACUAUCGUGUACUGGUAACUGGAUUGCCUCCUUCUGCUUCAUGGCAGGAUCUGAAGGACCACAUGCGUCGAGCUGGAGAUGUCUGUUUCUCCCAAGUGUUCCGUGAUCGGGGUGGCAUGACGGGAAUCGUAGACUACACAAACUAUGACGAUAUGAGAUAUGCUAUCCGGAAACUUGAUGACUCUGAAUUCAAAAAUGCUUUUUCUCGGGCUUACAUACGGGUGAAGGAAUAUGAUUCUAGACGUAGCUAUUCCAGAAGCCCUAGUUAUGACAUGAGACGGAGCUACUCUAGAAGCCCCAGUCGUAGUCCAUAUAUGUCGAGAAGUCAAAGCCGCAGUCGCAGCUAUAGCUAUGGUGGCCGAAUCAGAAGCAUAUCACCGGAGGCAAAAUAUUUGCACCGCUCUCCAUCAGCAUCUUAUCCAAGGUCUGUCUCACGUUCCCGUGCAAGGUUGGCUUCUUUCUUGCUAGAUCUGGAUUUUGCGGAGAUCUGGGGACUGGAUGUUAGGAACUUGAUGGGAUGUGGUGCUCAUGCCUGCAACUCUUAGUUGAGCUACCAAAAACCACAAAUCAGCGGUGCGGACACAUAAGGCUCAAAACUACUACAUUCACUAACUUGCGAUAAGGAUGAGUGGAUUUUCUCCUUUCAUCUAGGAUUAGAUGUUCGAUGCUGGUAUUUUAAUUUCUUACUACAUUGGUGGUUUUAUAUUUCUAAGAUCUGCCGGAAAGAUCAUGGGAUGCUGGGUGUAGAGCAUCUGGGCUAAAGGUUUAUAAUUUUUACUGUUUUCUUCCCGUCUAAUUAUGAUCUCGGACAAGAUCUAGGUCUCCAGUUUCUUCUGCUCGUCCCAGGACUCUGAGCAGAUCCAAGUCAAGAUCCAGAAGCUUAUCCUGGUCACUUUCACCUUCUGCAAGGUGAGAUCUAAACGAAGCCACGCCUUUGACCCCAGAGAUAGUGCUAUUAAGUACACAACUUUCUAGUGCUUUUUCUUUGGGGACACGAUAGGGAAAAUCAGUAACUUGAUCUAGUGUUCUAGACAUUUUGAUUAGGACCUUCAUUGGAUGGUCUAGUAUUGCAUCUAUGAAGUGGUUAGUUUGAAGAUAAUAUGAUGUAUUAAAUUAAACCAUUUUACUUUUUCGCUUUUGAAGUGAGAUAAGUGCAGCGCUUGCGGUUGAUGUUAUGUCUUGUAUUAAAUUAAACCAUAUUACUUUUGUGUCUCUGUUCUGAUCCUGCGUUUGUCUCCAUUCAAAACUUAACAGCAGUGAGUUAAGAAAUAAGAAGUUCGCUAGCCUGUAUUGAGUUCA
RNA transcript from Prunus mume (Japanese apricot), 1763 nucleotides. It is a transcript of the gene named SERINE-ARGININE PROTEIN 30, with no coding region annotated. The record is from RefSeq and is a predicted model, not a curated record. NCBI's taxonomy places the organism in Eukaryota, Viridiplantae, Streptophyta, Magnoliopsida, Rosales, Rosaceae.